UAAGGUUACUGAUAUCUCACUCUUGCUCUGAAAGAGCCGACAUGAAAGCGCGAUGAAGGCACAUUUUUCGUUCUCUGCGUAACGCUGUCGAAGAAGAAAUCGGAUUUCGAAGAGCCCGAAAGAUUAGUUCGAAUGACGAGGAGUGUCACGCUGCCGCGGAAAAAAACUCGCUACCUGUAGAGCAACAAGGCAUCGGACGCAAUCAAAAAGAAACGAGAGGCGAAAAUACGAAAGUGGGAAAGGCGUACUGAUCGACGGGAAAAAAGUCCAAAAGUUCUACCAGAAAGUUCGGCGAUUUAAAGAAGGAUUCAAGACCGGGGCGUUUUCCUGUAAGAACAAAAAGGGCGAUCUGGUAACUGACGCACAGAGCAUACUUAAAUUAUGGAGGUAGGACUUCGCAAACUUGCUGAAUAGUGACAACUGUAAAUAUCACACACAAUAUGGAAAUCCCGAUCCCCCAGUCGUUGACGAUGGAACUGUCAUUUCACUACCCGACCAUGACGAGGAGCGAAGGGAAGCUGGUAAGAUGCAUGCAUCAGCUCCUAUGCAAAAUAUGGUCAGAUAUAGUCAACGUAACAGUUGAUUGAAAUGAUUCAUCCGUAUUGUGCGAAAGACUGAAGCCCACCAUCAAUCAAGUGAUUGGAUUUUAUCAGUGUGGUUUUACACCUGGAAAAUCUACAAUUUGCCAAGUGUUGAAAAAGGCCCAUGAAAGGAGAAUCGAUACACACCAUAUUUUUGUCGAUUUUAAACUGGCAUUCGGAAGCAUCAAAAGGAGUUACCUAUAUGUCGCGAUAUCUGAGUUUAGUACCCUCACAAAACUAAUACGGCUGUGCAAGAUGACUUUGAUCAAUACCAGCAACGCCGUCAACAUUGGCAAGGUCUGCUGUCAUCAAACAAACCGUCGUGCAGUCGCGUUUCGGCACUUACGCCACUGUUGACAGCUAUGAUUUUGAUGUAAGACUGAAUCGAUAAUAAUGCCAAUCUUGAAAUGCAAUGGAGAAUAUCUCUGGCCUGCAAGUGUAUGAGUGAGUAGGACUGGGAAGUCAAUCGAGUAUUAAAAUCCUCUGAAUGAACACAUAUACUACUUUAUAAGCCUCUCAUUAUGCCCGUCCCAUUACAAGGUGCAAAAGCUUGAGCGAUAUCAACAUCUGAUGAGGCGUCUUUGGAGUAUUUUUGAAGAAGAUUUUUGACCUUUGCCUGUUGACGAUGGCGAGUAUCGAAGGCAACGGAGCAAUCAGCUGAAUGAGCUUUACAUAGACAUAGAACAGUAAAUAAAGGUCCAGCGAGGGAGCUCAUGUUGUCCGAAUGGAUGCAAACGAAAAAACGUUUAUUUUGCUGUCAGCAUUUAACCUAAACACCAUGGGCUAUUUGUUAUGUUAUAAAAAUUGCAAUAUUUUCUGUAUUUGUUUAUACUUAUGUUUUUCGUGUUCAUUACUUUAUUAUUAUUAUUAUUAUUGUUAUUAUUCCCACGCCACCCCGCAUACCGUGCGAGGCGGAGUCAAUUUUCACACAUUCGGGAUGCAAGUCGUGUCGGUACUAAGUAUUUGUCUUUUGUAUUAUAUUUUGUAUUAUUUUAUUGUUAUUUAUGUCAAAGUGUUUUCGUUUUUUAUUACUACGUG
This is a long non-coding RNA of Anastrepha obliqua, 1619 nucleotides long. RefSeq lists it as uncharacterized. Lineage: Eukaryota; Metazoa; Arthropoda; Insecta; Diptera; Tephritidae. The record is from RefSeq and is a predicted model, not a curated record. The transcript has 3 exons.